ACCUCUUCGGAGGUUCGUGGUAGGAGAGCGUUCUAAGGGCGGUGAAGUCAGACCGGAAGGACUGGUGGAGCGCUUAGAAGUGAGAAUGCCGGUAUGAGUAGCGAAAGAAGGGUGAGAAUCCCUUCCACCGAAUAUCUAAGGUUUCCUGAGGAAGGCUCGUCCGCUCAGGGUUAGUCGGGACCUAAGCCGAGGCCGAUAGGCGUAGGCGAUGGACAACAGGUAGAGAUUCCUGUACCAGUGCUAAUUGUUUAACCGAUGGGGUGACACAGAAGGAUAGGGAAUCGCACGAAUGGAAAUGUGCGUCCAAGCAGUGAGUGUGA
This 320-nucleotide ribosomal RNA is filed under the name Listeria monocytogenes. Its description in RNAcentral is "partial 23S ribosomal RNA". It matches the Rfam family "Bacterial large subunit ribosomal RNA", at positions 1210 to 1528 of the family's 2925-position model. Lineage: Bacteria; Bacillati; Bacillota; Bacilli; Caryophanales; Listeriaceae. The record is from RNAcentral.